UUUUAUUUCUCUAAGCCGAGAGGGGAGAUGAGCUUCCCUUUGGCUGCUCCCUACGCGAUUCUGGUGAAGCACCGGUGACCUCCUCUUAGCUCCGUAAAAUAUCUCUUUCAAAAUUCUAGACAAAUCGAGCACCAAACUUAUUUCCACCCUUCCUAAUCUCUCUAAAAUAGAACAAAAAAUGGCUACCUUUGAUGCUAUGAAGGUCCUUCAACUUCGGUGAAGCAAGAACAAACCUGAUAGGUAAUAUCAGAGUUGUUAGGAGAAUGUUCAUGGUAGGAGAUGGCUUCCCAAUCGAGUGGUAGGAAUGGCCUCUUGGCAGUGACCAACACGGUGGUCGGAGUGUAACCGGAUGACGGCGACGCAUCGUAGAACUUGGUCUCAACGGCGGCUGGAGAAAGGGUGAAAACCCUAGUUUGUUUGUUUCAACAUAUUUGGGCUUAGGAUUUGGAACUGUUGAGCCCAUUUGAUGGGUCUUGUAAUGGGUCAAUAUUGGGCCUUGGG
Hibiscus syriacus is the source of this 501-nucleotide long non-coding RNA. RefSeq lists it as uncharacterized. The record is from RefSeq and is a predicted model, not a curated record. The transcript has 3 exons. NCBI's taxonomy places the organism in Eukaryota, Viridiplantae, Streptophyta, Magnoliopsida, Malvales, Malvaceae.